UACGAACUGCGCAAACGUUAUUCGGAAUCACUGGGCGUAAAGCGCACGUAGGCGGAUUGUUAAGUCAGGGGUGAAAUCCUGGAGCUCAACUCCAGAACUGCCUUUGAUACUGGCGAUCUUGAGUCCGGGAGAGGUGAGUGGAACUGCGAGUGUAGAGGUGAAAUUCGUAGAUAUUCGCAAGAACACCAGUGGCGAAGGCGGCUCACUGGCCCGGUACUGACGCUGAGGUGCGAAAGCGUGGGGAGCAAACAGG
RNAcentral lists this ribosomal RNA (253 nucleotides) under uncultured bacterium. Its description in RNAcentral is "partial 16S ribosomal RNA". It matches the Rfam family "Bacterial small subunit ribosomal RNA", at positions 524 to 776 of the family's 1533-position model. The record is from RNAcentral.